UGGGGGGACCAUCCUCCAAGGCUAAAUACUCCUGACUGACCGAUAGUGAACCAGUACCGUGAGGGAAAGGCGAAAAGAACCCCGGCGAGGGGAGUGAAAAAGAACCUGAAACCGUGUACGUACAAGCAGUGGGAGCACAGGUUUACCUGUGUGACUGCGUACCUUUUGUAUAAUGGGUCAGCGACUUAUAUUCUGUAGCAAGGUUAACCGUAUAGGGGAGCCGGAGGGAAACCGAGUCUUAAUUGGGCGUUAAGUUGCAGGGUAUAGACCCGAAACCCGGUGAUCUAGCCAUGGGCAGGUUGAAGGUUGGGUAACACUAACUGGAGGACCGAACCGACUAAUGUUGAAAAAUUAGCGGAUGACCUGUGGCUGGGGGUGAAAGGCCAAUCAAACCGGGAGAUAGCUGGUUCUCCCCGAAAGCUAUUUAGGUAGCGCCUCGUGAAUUCAUCUCCGGGGGUAGAGCACUGUUUCGGCUAGGGGGCCAUCCCGGCUUACCAACCCGAUGCAAACUGCGAAUACCGGAGAAUGUUAUCACGGGAGACACACGGCGGGUGCUAACGUCCGUCGUGAAGAGGGAAACAACCCAGACCGCCAGCUAAGGUCCCAAAGUCAUGGUUAAGUGGGAAACGAUGUGGGAAGGCCCAGACAGCCAGGAUGUUGGCUUAGAAGCAGCCAUCAUUUAAAGAAAGCGUAAUAGCUCACUGGUCGAGUCGGCCUGCGCGGAAGAUGUAACGGGGCUAAACCAUGCACCGAAGCUGCGGCAGCGACGCUGAUGCGUUGUUGGGUAGGGGAGCGUUCUGUAAGCCUGCGAAGGUGGCCUGUGAGGGUUGCUGGAGGUAUCAGAAGUGCGAAUGCUGACAUAAGUAACGAUAAAGCGGGUGAAAAGCCCGCUCGCCGGAAGACCAAGGGUUCCUGUCCAACGUUAAUCGGGGCAGGGUGAGUCGACCCCUAAGGCGAGGCCGAAAGGCGUAGUCGAUGGGAAACGGGUUAAUAUUCCCGUACUUGGUGUUACUGCGAAGGGGGGACGGAGAAGGCUAUGUUGGCCGGGCGACGGUUGUCCCGGUUUAAGCGUGUAGGUGUGUGUUCCAGGUAAAUCCGGUUCACUUUAACACUGAGGCGUGAUGACGAGGCACUACGGUGCUGAAGCAACAAAUGCCCUGCUUCCAGGAAAAGCCUCUAAGCAUCAGGUAACAUCAAAUCGUACCCCAAACCGACACAGGUGGUCAGGUAGAGAAUACCAAGGCGCUUGAGAGAACUCGGGUGAAGGAACUAGGCAAAAUGGUGCCGUAACUUCGGGAGAAGGCACGCUGACACGUAGGUGAAGUGAUUUACUCACGGAGCUGAAGUCAGUCGAAGAUACCAGCUGGCUGCAACUGUUUAUUAAAAACACAGCACUGUGCAAACACGAAAGUGGACGUAUACGGUGUGACGCCUGCCCGGUGCCGGAAGGUUAAUUGAUGGGGUCAGCGCAAGCGAAGCUCCUGAUCGAAGCCCCGGUAAACGGCGGCCGUAACUAUAACGGUCCUAAGGUAGCGAAAUUCCUUGUCGGGUAAGUUCCGACCUGCACGAAUGGCGUAAUGAUGGCCAGGCUGUCUCCACCCGAGACUCAGUGAAAUUGAACUCGCUGUGAAGAUGCAGUGUACCCGCGGCAAGACGGAAAGACCCCGUGAACCUUUACUAUAGCUUGACACUGAACAUUGAGCCUUGAUGUGUAGGAUAGGUGGGAGGCUUUGAAGUGUGGACGCCAGUCUGCAUGGAGCCGACCUUGAAAUACCACCCUUUAAUGUUUGAUGUUCUAACGUGGACCCGUAAUCCGGGUUGCGGACAGUGUCUGGUGGGUAGUUUGACUGGGGCGGUCUCCUCCUAAAGAGUAACGGAGGAGCACGAAGGUUGGCUAAUCCUGGUCGGACAUCAGGAGGUUAGUGCAAUGGCAUAAGCCAGCUUGACUGCGAGCGUGACGGCGCGAGCAGGUGCGAAAGCAGGUCAUAGUGAUCCGGUGGUUCUGAAUGGAAGGGCCAUCGCUCAACGGAUAAAAGGUACUCCGGGGAUAACAGGCUGAUACCGCCCAAGAGUUCAUAUCGACGGCGGUGUUUGGCACCUCGAUGUCGGCUCAUCACAUCCUGGGGCUGAAGUAGGUCCCAAGGGUAUGGCUGUUCGCCAUUUAAAGUGGUACGCGAGCUGGGUUUAGAACGUCGUGAGACAGUUCGGUCCCUAUCUGCCGUGGGCGCUGGAGAACUGAGGGGGGCUGCUCCUAGUACGAGAGGACCGGAGUGGACGCAUCACUGGUGUUCGGGUUGUCAUGCCAAUGGCACUGCCCGGUAGCUAAAUGCGGAAGAGAUAAGUGCUGAAAGCAUCUAAGCACGAAACUUGCCCCGAGAUGAGUUCUCCCUGAGACUUAGAGUCUCCUGAAGGAACGUUGAAGACGACGACGUUGAUAGGCCGGGUGUGUAAGCGCAG
RNAcentral lists this ribosomal RNA (2457 nucleotides) under Salmonella enterica subsp. enterica serovar Reading. RNAcentral describes it as "bacterial LSU rRNA". It matches the Rfam family "Bacterial large subunit ribosomal RNA", at positions 445 to 2878 of the family's 2925-position model. The record is from RNAcentral. Lineage: Bacteria; Pseudomonadati; Pseudomonadota; Gammaproteobacteria; Enterobacterales; Enterobacteriaceae.